AGGAAUUUAGGUUAACAUAGACCAAGAGCCUUCAAAGCCCUAAGUAAGUAGUCAUGCUUAAUUCCUG
This 67-nucleotide transfer RNA is filed under the name Rubrisciurus rubriventer (Sulawesi giant squirrel). RNAcentral's name for it is "tRNA-Trp". Lineage: Eukaryota; Metazoa; Chordata; Mammalia; Rodentia; Sciuridae. The record is from RNAcentral.